UACAGAGGUGGCAAGCGUUGUUCGGAUUUACUGGGCGUAAAGGGUGCGUAGGUGGUUCUGUGUGUCGGACGUGAAAUCCCACCGCUUAACGGUGGAACUGCAUUCGAAACUGCAGGACUUGAGUACAGGAGGGGAGAGCGGAAUUCCUGGUGUAGCGGUGAAAUGCGUUGAUAUCAGGAGGAACACCGGUGGCGAAGGCGGCUCUCUGGAAUGUUACUGACACUGAGGCACGAGAGCUGGGGGAG
RNAcentral lists this ribosomal RNA (245 nucleotides) under uncultured bacterium. RNAcentral's name for it is "partial 16S ribosomal RNA". It matches the Rfam family "Bacterial small subunit ribosomal RNA", at positions 524 to 768 of the family's 1533-position model. The record is from RNAcentral.